This is a long non-coding RNA of Mugil cephalus (flathead mullet), 655 nucleotides long. RefSeq lists it as uncharacterized. The transcript has 3 exons. The record is from RefSeq and is a predicted model, not a curated record. Lineage: Eukaryota; Metazoa; Chordata; Actinopteri; Mugiliformes; Mugilidae.
GAUUGCCCUCUCCACCACUGCCCGAGUUCAGGACUGGAGGUCAUUGUAUCCCCUCUCUUGAUCGGUGCCAGGGUUGGUGAGAGGGAUCAACAGCCACCUUCUCAGGGGGUAGCCAAUGUCCCCUGGGGUCAAAUGAAGGCAGAAAACGUGCUUCAGUGGGAAACGAACACUUAGGGCAAAACAACUUUAUUAACGGAUAAAUUAUUUACUCACCGAGAAGCCAUCGAUCCUGCACCAUGCCAGCCUCCAGCCUGUUCCCAACCAUGCUGUUGGUCAGAAUGAACGAGUCAUGCGUUGAACCAGGCCACCUUUCCACGAUGCACCAGAGUUAAAAACGACUGGACUUCUCCGCACCUGGACCACCUGUGGCAGAUAAAGAUCACCCGCUCAAGCUGUUCAGUGCAGCAUCCAAAGAGUUCCCAUAAGUAGACUAUUACCUUCAUAUUUGAGCAGAGUUGAUGUGUGUUGUAACUACAUGAAACUUAAACAAAUAAUAAUUAAUUUAAGAAAUUAGGUUCCAUUUGCAUUCACAGUCUACUUCUCAUUUUCAUUAAACUCAUUUCAGUAUCCUCAUCAUUUUCUAUUACCCCAUUAUUCAUCAUAUUAUUUAUUAUUCACUAUUCACCAUUGUAAAUAAACCACAUAUUUUACUUAA